UUAAGCGACCAAGCGUACACGGUGGAUGCCCUGGCAGUCAGAGGCGAUGAAGGACGUGCUAAUCUGCGAAAAGCGCCGGCGAGGUGAUAUGAACCCUUGACCCGGCGAUGUCCGAAUGGGGAAACCCAGUGUGACUCGUCACACUAUCAUUAACUGAAUCCAUAGGUUAAUGAGGCGAACCGGGGGAACUGAAACAUCUAAGUACCCCGAGGAAAAGAAAUCAACCGAGAUUCCCCCAGUAGCGGCGAGCGAACGGGGAGGAGCCCAGAGCCUGAAUCAGCAGGUGUGUUAGUGGAAGCGUCUGGAAAGGCGCGCGAUACAGGGUGAGAGCCCCGUACACGAAAAUGCACCUGGUGUGAGCUCGAUGAGUAGGGCGGGACACGUGGUAUCCUGUCUGAAUAUGGGGGGACCAUCCUCCAAGGCUAAAUACUCCUGACUGACCGAUAGUGAACCAGUACCGUGAGGGAAAGGCGAAAAGAACCCCGGCGAGGGGAGUGAAAAAGAACCUGAAACCGUGUACGUACAAGCAGUGGGAGCACAGGUUUACCUGUGUGACUGCGUACCUUUUGUAUAAUGGGUCAGCGACUUAUAUUCUGUAGCAAGGUUAACCGAAUAGGGGAGCCGGAGGGAAACCGAGUCUUAAUUGGGCGUUAAGUUGCAGGGUAUAGACCCGAAACCCGGUGAUCUAGCCAUGGGCAGGUUGAAGGUUGGGUAACACUAACUGGAGGACCGAACCGACUAAUGUUGAAAAAUUAGCGGAUGACCUGUGGCUGGGGGUGAAAGGCCAAUCAAACCGGGAGAUAGCUGGUUCUCCCCGAAAGCUAUUUAGGUAGCGCCUCGUGAACUCAUCUCCGGGGGUAGAGCACUGUUUCGGCUAGGGGGCCAUCCCGGCUUACCAACCCGAUGCAAACUGCGAAUACCGGAGAAUGUUAUCACGGGAGACACACGGCGGGUGCUAACGUCCGUCGUGAAGAGGGAAACAACCCAGACCGCCAGCUAAGGUCCCAAAGUCAUGGUUAAGUGGGAAACGAUGUGGGAAGGCCCAGACAGCCAGGAUGUUGGCUUAGAAGCAGCCAUCAUUUAAAGAAAGCGUAAUAGCUCACUGGUCGAGUCGGCCUGCGCGGAAGAUGUAACGGGGGCUAAACCAUGCACCGAAGCUGCGGCAGCGGCACGCAAGUGUUGUUGGGUAGGGGAGCGUUCUGUAAGCCGUUGAAGGUGUGCUGUGAGGCAUGCUGGAGGUAUCAGAAGUGCGAAUGCUGACAUAAGUAAACGAUAAAGCGGGUGAAAAGCCCGCUCGCCGGAAGACCAAGGGUUCCUGUCCAACGUUAAUCGGGGCAGGGUGAGUCGACCCCUAAGGCGAGCCGAAAGGCGUAGUCGAUGGGAAACGGGUUAAUAUUCCCGUACUUGGUGUUACUGCGAAGGGGGGACGGAGAAGGCUAUGUUGGCCGGGCGACGGUUGUCCCGGUUUAAGCGUGUAGGCUGGUUUUCCAGGCAAAUCCGGAAAAUCAAGGCUGAGGCGUGACGACGAGGCACCACGGUGCUGAAGCAACAAAUGCCCUGCUUCCAGGAAAAGCCUCUAAGCGUCAGGUAACAUCAAAUCGUACCCCCAAACCGACACAGGUGGUCAGGUAGAGAAUACCAAGGCGCUUGAGAGAACUCGGGUGAAGGAACUAGGCAAAAUGGUGCCGUAACUUCGGGAGAAGGCACGCUGACAUGUAGGUGAAGCGGUUUACCCGUGGAGCUGAAGUCAGUCGAAGAUACCAGCUGGCUGCAACUGUUUAUUAAAAACACAGCACUGUGCAAACACGAAAGUGGACGUAUACGGUGUGACGCCUGCCCGGUGCCGGAAGGUUAAUUGAUGGGGUCAGCGGUAACGCGAAGCUCCUGAUCGAAGCCCCGGUAAACGGCGGCCGUAACUAUAACGGUCCUAAGGUAGCGAAAUUCCUUGUCGGGUAAGUUCCGACCUGCACGAAUGGCGUAAUGAUGGCCAGGCUGUCUCCACCCGAGACUCAGUGAAAUUGAACUCGCUGUGAAGAUGCAGUGUACCCGCGGCAAGACGGAAAGACCCCGUGAACCUUUACUAUAGCUUGACACUGAACACUGGUCCUUGAUGUGCAGGAUAGGUGGGAGGCUUUGAAGCGUGGACGCCAGUCUGCGUGGAGCCAUCCUUGAAAUACCACCCUUUAAUGGCUGGUUGUUCUAACGUGGGCCCCUGACCGGGGUUGCGGACAGUGUCUGGUGGGUAGUUUGACUGGGGCGGUCUCCUCCCAAAGAGUAACGGAGGAGCACGAAGGUUGGCUAAUCCUGGUCGGACAUCAGGAGGUUAGUGCAAUGGCAUAAGCCAGCUUGACUGCGAGCGUGACGGCGCGAGCAGGUGCGAAAGCAGGUCAUAGUGAUCCGGUGGUUCUGAAUGGAAGGGCCAUCGCUCAACGGAUAAAAAGGUACUCCGGGGAUAACAGGCUGAUACCGCCCAAGAGUUCAUAUCGACGGCGGUGUUUGGCACCCUCGAUGUCGGCUCAUCACAUCCUGGGGCUGAAGUAGGUCCCAAGGGUAUGGCUGUUCGCCAUUUAAAGUGGUACGCGAGCUGGGUUUAGAACGUCGUGAGACAGUUCGGUCCCUAUCUGCCGUGGGCGCUGGAAGAUUGAGGGGGGCUGCUCCUAGUACGAGAGGACCGGAGUGGACGCAUCACUGGUGUUUCGGGUUGUCAUGCCAAUGGCACUGCCCGGUAGCUAAAUGCGGAAGAGAUAAGUGCUGAAAGCAUCUAAGCACGAAACUUGCCCCGAGAUGAAUCUUCCCUGAGACUUUAAGUCUCCUGAAGGAACGUUGAAGACGACGACGUUGAUAGGCCGGGUGUGUAAGCGCAGCGAUGCGUUGAGCUAACCGGUACUAAUGAACCGUGAGGCUUAACCUU
RNAcentral lists this ribosomal RNA (2911 nucleotides) under Salmonella bongori. RNAcentral describes it as "23S ribosomal RNA". It matches the Rfam family "Bacterial large subunit ribosomal RNA". Lineage: Bacteria; Pseudomonadati; Pseudomonadota; Gammaproteobacteria; Enterobacterales; Enterobacteriaceae. The record is from RNAcentral.